GGGAAGGGGUGAGGGUUCCUCUAAGAAGGCCUUUUCUUUCCUAAAUUCAGGUCUUUCACAGUGUCUGCAGGCCUCAUGAGAUGAACGGGGUGUUUGGGGAUUGACAAAAAAGGAUACGUGUGCUUUGAAUUGCUCCCAGGGCUACAUUUCUGUUCUUGUAAAGACUAGGUUUGUAAGGCAAAGACAGUUUCUAAUUCCACAAGGAACUGGGCUGCAACUUGAGUGAAGUUGACUUUUUUCCCUUUUUGGGGGGAGGGCUCUUUUUAGGACCGUACCCACAACAUAUGGAGGUUCCCAGGCUAGGGGUUGAAUCAGAGCUGUAGCCGCUGGCCUACACCACAGCCGCAGCCAUGUGAGAUCCAAGCCGCGUCUUCAACCUACACCACGGCUCACAGCAACGCCAGGGAUCGAACCUGAGUCUUCAUGGGUAUGAGUCGGGUUUGUUAACUGCUGAGUCACAAAGGGAACUUGGACAGUUUUUUUUGUUUGUUUGUUUUUUUAAAGUUUGGAGGCAGCCAUGGCAUCUGAGGGAUACGGCUGAUUUCAAGCUCCCUCCGUUUGGUUGACAUGUCCAACUUUAUUUGGGAUUUGGACACAGACAGUCUGUCUUCUGGUUCAAGAAGCUUAUGAACAAGAAUACACCCUGACCCUUGCCUGACUUCCUGGAGAAUUUUCCACUGGAAAAGACAGUGAUGAAAGGACUCCUGCCUCCCCCCCGGGAAGGGUGUUUUCUGGUACCGCUCACCAGUUCCUACAUGGCUGAACUUGAAGGCAUCCGCCCCAACUGAGAGGAGUCACAGGACCAGCAAAGCCACUGGUGAUCUGACUCAAGACCUCCUGCCCCCAGAAGUAGACGACACCGGGUGUGGACAGCUGUCCCCAGAUGCUGGACCAGGCCUGUACCUGUCUUGAUUUCUGCCAUGUUCUCCUGUACUGUGAAAAUCACCAUCGCCCGACGCCUCCACUCCCUUUUCCUCACCUCAGGAGAGCUGUUACACGGAUGGGGUUCAGUGCGCACUUCCACGGGAAGCAUUGUCAACCAAGCGGUGGUCAACCUUCUGAGUUAUUUGUAUGGAAGCAUGUUUUUAAUCCAAGUCCCUGCUGCCCUGGCUGCGAGGUGGCACACGUGAAGCUCUGAUCAGGAAUCUCUCCUCAACUCUUCAAGAAAUUGCAGAAUCUGCUGCUAAAGCAAUAGCUGCCCAACAAAAAUCCCUCGACUUUCAGGCCAAAGUUGUUCUUGAAAAGACAGCCCCUUGACUGUCCUGUAGCUGAGCAAGGUGUCUGUGCUGUGACCAACACCACUGCUGCACCUGGGCCGACGCUUCUGGAGAGGUUGAGACUCAGCUCUGGAAGAUCACAAAACUAGCCAGGUAGCUUUACAAAGGGACUCCUUCAAUGGUCUCUUUCUUGGAUUCACUUGGUUCUGAUUAGUCUGGGUCUUGGGGAACCAUGGCUCCGAAGUCAACUCCAGGCACUGGGCAUGCCUUGGCUUAGUUAGCACAGGGGCCACCCUCGUGUGCUGUGUUCUCUCAAAAGCUUCCAAUGCAACUUUGCAGCCACCAAGUAAAUGAACUCCCUCAGAAGAGAACAGCAGAAAAAGAACAAAGAGAACGGUCUCCUCAAAAAACCUGACCCAAUGUCACAAACCAUGAACACCACACAGAGAUUCAGCAAAACCUGGGAAGAGCCCCAGAGCAGCAGCUGGAAGCAGCACGC
RNAcentral lists this long non-coding RNA (1716 nucleotides) under Sus scrofa (pig). RNAcentral's name for it is "lncRNA (ENSSSCG00060047219.1)". Lineage: Eukaryota; Metazoa; Chordata; Mammalia; Artiodactyla; Suidae. The record is from RNAcentral.